AUAUCAUGGACUUCAUCCAUUGUCAAAUUCUUCCUGAUGAUGUGCCAAAACCAAUUAGCAAACAUACAGAAAGCAAUGAUAGAUUGUGAUAUGAGAUGCCUGCUUCCCUCAGACCUUCAUCCAGUGUAUCCACAGCAGAUGUGA
This 144-nucleotide ribosomal RNA is filed under the name Triticum aestivum (bread wheat). RNAcentral describes it as "partial small subunit ribosomal RNA". Lineage: Eukaryota; Viridiplantae; Streptophyta; Magnoliopsida; Poales; Poaceae. The record is from RNAcentral.